CGGCUGCAGCAAGGAAUAUUGCGCAAUGGGCGAAAGCCUGACGCAGCGACGUCGCGUGAGGGAAGAAGGCCUUCGGGUCGUAAACCUCUUUUCUCAGGGAAGAAUAAUGACGGUACCUGAGGAAUAAGUCUCGGCUAACUACGUGCCAGCAGCCGCGGUAAGACGUAGGAGGCUAGCGUUAUCCGGAUUUACUGGGCGUACAGAGCGCGUAGGCGGCUUUUCAAGUCGGACGUGAAAUCUCCUGGCUUAACUGGGAGGAGUCGUUCGAUACUGUUAGGCUAGAGGACAGCAGAAGGAGGUGGAAUUCCCGGUGUAGUGGUGAUAUGCGUAGAUAUCGGGAGGAACACCAGUGGCGAAAGCGGCCUCCAUGGCUGUAUCUGACGCUGAGGCGCGAAGGCGUGGGGAGCAAACAGGAUUAGAUACCCGGGUAGUC
Molecule: ribosomal RNA, 433 nt
Filed under: uncultured microorganism
Description: bacterial SSU rRNA
Rfam family: Bacterial small subunit ribosomal RNA
Source: RNAcentral